GAUGAGAACCUCCGGGGGCAGAGGUUCAACUCGAGCGUAGCGAGAGAACGUUGCUUCAGCAACGGCCCGAAGGGCGAGCCACGCAGUGACGAGUCAUC
This 98-nucleotide small RNA is filed under the name Kosakonia sacchari. RNAcentral's name for it is "RtT sRNA". It matches the Rfam family "RtT RNA", at positions 21 to 115 of the family's 130-position model. Rfam says of the family: This family represents a bacterial cis-regulatory element known as RtT RNA. Lineage: Bacteria; Pseudomonadati; Pseudomonadota; Gammaproteobacteria; Enterobacterales; Enterobacteriaceae. The record is from RNAcentral. RNAcentral also lists the same sequence under 1 other name.